RNAcentral lists this transfer RNA (69 nucleotides) under Bryopa lata. RNAcentral describes it as "tRNA-Ile". Lineage: Eukaryota; Metazoa; Mollusca; Bivalvia; Clavagellidae. The record is from RNAcentral.
CGCGCCCCGCCGGUAUGAGCGGGUCACUUUGAUGUGGUGAAAUAUGGGGGUAAAGUCCCUCGGGCGUGG